RNAcentral lists this ribosomal RNA (301 nucleotides) under uncultured bacterium. RNAcentral describes it as "partial 16S ribosomal RNA". It matches the Rfam family "Bacterial small subunit ribosomal RNA", at positions 509 to 807 of the family's 1533-position model. The record is from RNAcentral.
CAGUCGCCGCGGUAAUACAGAGGGUGCAAGCGUUAAUCGGAAUUACUGGGCGUAAAGCGCGCGUAGGUGGUUUGUUAAGUUGGAUGUGAAAGCCCCGGGCUCAACCUGGGAACUGCAUCCAAAACUGGCAAGCUAGAGUACGGUAGAGGGUGGUGGAGUUUCCUGUGUAGCGGUGAAAUGCGUAGAUAUAGGAAGGAACACCAGUGGCGAAGGCGACCACCUGGACUGAUACUGACACUGAGGUGCGAAAGCGUGGGGAGCAAACAGGAUUAGAUACCCCCGUAGUCCCUGUCUCUUAUAC